GAAUCUCUUCCAACUCCAAGUUUGGUCGCCUCUACUCUCGAUCUUCAAAAGGUAAGAGUCGAUCUCUAGCUUAUGUUAUGUUUUAAGUAAGUUUUAUGAAGUUCAUGGGGGUAGAAUGCAUGUUUAGUUCAUAGUUAGGUUUAUGGGUUUUAUAUGUGUUUUUGAGCAAUGUGAGUUGCUUGUGUGUUGUAGUUGGGGUUUUUGUUGGUUUGAUGCCCCUAGGAGCUUGUAUGUUUGCUUGUGAAUGCUUGGGAUUGUUGUAGAAUAGGUUUAUGCAUGAUUGGAUGAUUUUGGAGGCAUAAAUGCAUAAGGGAGCCAAGUUUCUGCCCUUUGGCAGAAACCAGGUUCGGCAGCCGAAGGAACUUUCGGCCGCCGAACAUGGCUGGGGAGGCAGGCCUUUCG
This 402-nucleotide long non-coding RNA is filed under the name Manihot esculenta (cassava). RNAcentral's name for it is "long non-coding RNA (MESC_LNC005973)". Lineage: Eukaryota; Viridiplantae; Streptophyta; Magnoliopsida; Malpighiales; Euphorbiaceae. The record is from RNAcentral.